GCAGUGGCUGUUCAGUGGUAGAAUUCUCACCUUUCAUGUGGAAGACCUGGGUUUGAUUCCCAGACAAUGUA
This 71-nucleotide transfer RNA is filed under the name Loxodonta africana (African savanna elephant). It matches the Rfam family "tRNA". From Rfam's summary of the family: Transfer RNA (tRNA) molecules are approximately 80 nucleotides in length. Lineage: Eukaryota; Metazoa; Chordata; Mammalia; Proboscidea; Elephantidae. The record is from Rfam by way of RNAcentral.